Neolamprologus brichardi is the source of this 178-nucleotide non-coding RNA. NCBI's taxonomy places the organism in Eukaryota, Metazoa, Chordata, Actinopteri, Cichliformes, Cichlidae. The record is from RefSeq and is a predicted model, not a curated record.
UCAGGUGACAGACAAAGGACAAAUAAUCCAACCAGAAAAAAUCCAGCAGGCUACAGUCAGUCCAAUACCCAAGCUAUCCAUUGGUACGUCAUUGCAGCUGUGGGUUUUGUCUUGCUCUUGAUAACAGCUGCAUCUGUUAUCAGAUGGAGAAAAACAAAAGCGAACAAAACACAGAUGG